RNAcentral lists this ribosomal RNA (254 nucleotides) under uncultured bacterium. RNAcentral's name for it is "partial 16S ribosomal RNA". It matches the Rfam family "Bacterial small subunit ribosomal RNA", at positions 524 to 776 of the family's 1533-position model. The record is from RNAcentral.
UACGUAGGGGGCAAGCGUUGUCCGGAAUCAUUGGGCGUAAAGAGCGUGUAGGCGGCCAGAUAAGUCCGCUGUGAAAUCUCGAGGCUCAACUUCGAGCUGUCGGUGGAAACUGUCUGGCUAGAGUCCGGAAGAGGAGAAUGGAAUUCCUGGUGUAGCGGUGAAAUGCGCAGAUAUCAGGAAGAACACCCGUGGCUAAGGCGGCUCUCUAGUACGGUACUGACGCUGAGACGCGAAAAGCGUGGGGAGCGAACAGG